Ictalurus punctatus (channel catfish) is the source of this 2768-nucleotide long non-coding RNA. The record is from Ensembl. Lineage: Eukaryota; Metazoa; Chordata; Actinopteri; Siluriformes; Ictaluridae.
UGACCUUCUAUUUACGAUCCGUUUGCAUCGAACUUCUUUUAAGCGUUUAAACGGUCGGAAAAAAUCCACAAGUACCGUGACGGAAAAGCAUGCGGUUUAUGCUCAUCAAUUUAUAUGACGUAUAAACGCGAGGACGAUAUCGGCCCUGCCUGUCGUUGACGAAUGCCAGUGGGGACGUUUUACAACGCGAGGACGGAAAUCGCGUCGUCUGUGUCCCAGUGUUCAGCGAGCCAUGGAACUGGUGUACGAGAUCAACCGAUUCACCACCUAGGGAGCCAGGGAGCUGAUUGAGACGUAUCCAUUGGCAGACCUGUUCAAAAUGACUCGCCUCUCGGGCCCAGCAUGUUGACGAGCUAAGUUUUAAAAUCCUACACUCCUAUAAAACUCGCACCCGAACCACACGCCGUAACAACGGCCAUGCCGUUGCCGUUCUGUAUGUGAUCCACCUCCCACGUAAUAUCUGCUCCAUGGUGGUCCAUUCCAUUGAUGGAUGACGAGCUGGAGCGGGACUGACGCGUCGCGCAAAGGAACACACGCCGCAGUCUGUAAUUUGUACGCCUACAGAGCGACCUGAUGAAAUGUCUGUAACAGUUCUGACGUAUCUCGAUCCGAAAAGCAGCUGCAGUACGGCGUGUGGAAACGGGCGAACGCAUCCGCUAGGUCCGGGUGCACUUUUAUGUUUUCCAGCGGUUUUGAUGUUUCACUCCAGCGACUCGGUUUAUACGCGCGUCUCCGCCCGCUUUUUGUCGUUUCCUAACGAACCCGGUCCGUCAAAUACCAGCUCGCUUUCUUUUUAAUGAACACAAGGUAUAGCGCAGUUGAUUUCUCAUGCGACCAGACGCUCACGAGCCAGGAAGCCUCUUGACUGAAUGCUAAUGUUUACCUGGUGAGAAAAGCCAAUUAUCUUGAAGCAGGAUUCGAGGGGGGAGGGGGGGGGAGAGAAAGAAUUUCGCUUCCGGCAGCGAUGGAUGUCGAGUUCAUCUAGGUGGACGUUAACACAAACACGAGCCGAUGGAAACCAGCAGGACCGGCGUUGCUCCCUUCUUCCUGGAAAUAAAGCAGGAGGGAUGCUGUGCGUUAAGCGGCUCUUUUUGAAAAACGCGUAUUUCCGACAUCCUGGAUAUUUCCGAGUAACGCCGGGACAAAUUAUCGAGCACAACGUAAGCAACUCUCUAUCGCACCCAAGUCGAUCAGAGCGUUUAUUUCCUCCGUCCUACACUCUCUACUACACACGAAUCAUGAGGCUUUCUUUCUUUCUUUUUUCCUUUUUUCUUUUUCCGCACACUCCGGCUCGCGCGUGCACGUGACCCCGCCUCUUAGGACACAGGUUCACAUCGUGUCGGAGUACGUCGGCGGACGCCUACGCCACCGUCUACAGACGCUCGUAGAUACGAUCGUAGGUUCCUCACAGGGACUUGAAAACUUUACAGAUGUAAAAGGCUAUGGGAAACGGUGUGCACUUCUAUAGUAUAUUCCAAAGCGCUUUACAUUCUCAUUCACACACAAACGGUAGCAGAGCUGCCACGUAAGGCGCUAACUUGCCAUCGGGAGCAACUCGGGGUUCAGCGUCUCGCCCGAGGACACUUCGGGAUGUGGAGUCACGUGGGCCGGGAGGAAUCAAACCGCCGACCCUACGAUCAGCGGACGACCCGCUCUACCACCCGAUCCACAGCCGCGCUGUACACGUUGCCCGUUUGUUUUUGCAACAGACGUGUGGACCUGGACAUGUGCCAAAAUGAAUUCGAAUAGAAGGUCGACUCAUGACUUGACUUGUUAAUCUUGAGCGUCUUGGCAAAAUUCGGUUUCCGUCACUUCAAGAAAAUCCAAUCUCCCUUCCACGUUCCCACAAAAACCCCUCCCCUCGCUUCUCCUUCAGGCCCAAACAUAAUCAUGUCUCCAUGAGCAGUUCGAGCCCGAGGCAGAAAACGUAUGUCGCAUCUCUUCAGUCUCAGUGAAGAAGUGCUCUGUGCUUUAGGUAUGUGUGAGAGAGAGAGAGAGAGAGAGAGAGAGGGACAGUUUUCUCACUAGUCUUUGUGAAAAUCACACAGUUGUGCCACAUACUUUAUCCGCUCUCAAAGGCCAGGUUUAACCGCACCAUAUAGGUGGCGUAAUUACUACACAGCUGUGAUGUUUAGUCAUAAUGUGCUUUAUAGGCUGUCCGCAGUGGCCAGCACUGUGUAGCCCUUAAUGUGCUUUUCAAUACACUACAGCAUUCUCCAAUACAGCAUUCUCCAGUCUCCGAUCGGCAGUCGAUGGUCACGCGUGCGCUACUCAACGACGCAUCAAAGAGGCUCGCCGAGGCAUCGCCGAAAGCAGGCAGAUAUAUUCGGCGCGUUAAAUAUCCGGAGCUGUCGGGCGACUCCACAUCCUGUGGCGUGAAAAGUGUCGUCUCGGGCAGCGAUCUACAGCCAGCGAGAGAGCAAGGCGUGGGGUGAGGUCGCCGUGAGGAAGGGAAAACCCGCAAAACCUUUCUUUUUUUUUUUUUCUUUUGUCUUUUCCUUUUUGGAGUUUUUUCAGCACAAAUCAUCACAAAUCAGUAAAAUGACACACGCUGAAGUCAUCGCUUGGCACUAAAGCCAUGUUUUCUUACAUAAAGGGCCAGUGAGUGUGACCGCGUGUGUCGGAGGGGAGUGUGUGAAUCUGCAGGGAAGGUCAGAGCGCUGGGGUUAAAAGCUGAAACGGAAACGGCCAAUCGUAGGAGCACACAUAUGAAUAGGAACAAUUAGGAAGAACAAUAGUGGCACCACACACACACACACACACACACA